Sceloporus undulatus (fence lizard) is the source of this 395-nucleotide long non-coding RNA. RefSeq lists it as uncharacterized. NCBI's taxonomy places the organism in Eukaryota, Metazoa, Chordata, Lepidosauria, Squamata, Phrynosomatidae. The transcript is spliced from 3 exons. The record is from RefSeq and is a predicted model, not a curated record.
GGUUGUUAGUUCCUUAGCUGGGAGGAUUGUGGGUACUGCAGUCCAGAAAGGUCAACAAACUCUCUCGGCCUAUUGGGCCACCGUAGUGCGUGCUGCGUGGUGACGCAAAGGUGACGCAGCAGCGUGCGGCGCUCCGGCUCCCCUUGAGGGGAGGGGCCGAAGAAGGAGGAGGAGGAGGAGGAAGAGCUAAGAUGGCGGAGGCCUCCCCGCAGCCAGGACGCUACUUUUGCCACUGCUGCUCGGCCGAGAUCGCCCCGAGGUUGCCGGAUUACAUUUGCCCAAGGUGCGAAUCUGGUUUCAUUGAAGAGCUGCCAGAAGAGCCUAGAAAUGUCGAAAAUGGGUCCAACUCUUCAGCAUCAACUAGUGAUCAGAACAAGACAUCCAUUUGAGGUAGG